Molecule: small RNA, 295 nt
Filed under: Linderina pennispora
Lineage: Eukaryota; Fungi; Kickxellomycota; Kickxellomycetes; Kickxellales; Kickxellaceae
Description: 5' ureB small RNA
Rfam family: 5' ureB small RNA
Source: Rfam by way of RNAcentral
CUUCGUCAAUAAGCUGCGGGCAAAUAAAGUGGACAUGCGUAUCAAUAGCAGCAGCGGUAACAAUCUUGCCUUCGCCAGCCAUGGCCUCAGUCGAUGUACCUACGUACAUCCCAGGUGUAACGCCGUCCAUGACGUCUGGGUUUCCGGCCUUACCGAUGCCGACAAUCAUACCGCCUUUGAUUCCGAUAUCAGCCUUAUAGACACCAGUAUAGUCGAUGAUGACAGCGUUGGUGAUUACCAGGUCAAGGCAUUGGCGGCGCAGCAAAGGGGUAGUCUGGCCCAUUCCGUCGCGCAG